RNAcentral lists this ribosomal RNA (455 nucleotides) under uncultured bacterium. RNAcentral describes it as "bacterial SSU rRNA". It matches the Rfam family "Bacterial small subunit ribosomal RNA", at positions 446 to 873 of the family's 1533-position model. The record is from RNAcentral.
AGUGUAGUUAAUAGCUGCAUUAUUUGACGUUAGCGACAGAAGAAGCACCGGCUAACUCCGUGCCAGCAGCCGCGGUAAUACGGAGGGUGCGAGCGUUAAUCGGAAUUACUGGGCGUAAAGCGCAUGCAGGUGGUUUGUUAAGUCAGAUGUGAAAGCCCGGGGCUCAACCUCGGAAUUGCAUUUGAAACUGGCAGACUAGAGUACUGUAGAGGGGGGUAGAAUUUCAGGUGUAGCGGUGAAAUGCGUAGAGAUCUGAAGGAAUACCGGUGGCGAAGGCGGCCCCCUGGACAGAUACUGACACUCAGAUGCGAAAGCGUGGGGAGCAAACAGGAUUAGAUACCCUGGUAGUCCACGCCGUAAACGAUGUCUACUUGGAGGUUGUGGCCUUGAGCCGUGGCUUUCGGAGCUAACGCGUUAAGUAGCCUGAUGCAGCCAUGCCGCGUGUAUGAAGAACC